This 251-nucleotide ribosomal RNA is filed under the name uncultured bacterium. RNAcentral describes it as "partial 16S ribosomal RNA". It matches the Rfam family "Bacterial small subunit ribosomal RNA", at positions 524 to 776 of the family's 1533-position model. The record is from RNAcentral.
UACGUAGGGUGCAAGCGUAAUCGGAAUUACUGGGCGUAAAGCGUGCGCAGGCGGUUCGCUAAGACAGAUGUGAAAUCCCCGGGCUAACCUGGGAACUGCAUUUGUGACUGGCGGGCUAGAGUAUGGCAGAGGGGGGUAGAAUUCCACGUGUAGCAGUGAAAUGCGUAGAGAUGUGGAGGAACACCGAUGGCGAAGGCAGCCCCCUGGGUCAAGAUUGACGCUCAUGCACGAAAGCGUGGGGAGCAAACAGG